RNAcentral lists this transfer RNA (86 nucleotides) under Tepidimonas charontis. RNAcentral's name for it is "Tepidimonas sp. SPSP-6 tRNA-His". Lineage: Bacteria; Pseudomonadati; Pseudomonadota; Betaproteobacteria; Burkholderiales. The record is from RNAcentral.
CUGUUUCUGGGCGGUGGCGCGGCGGCGCUGUGGUUGGCGCGCCGCACGCUGGGCAGCGUGCAUUGGUUCGAGGCCAGCGUGACGGA